This is a non-coding RNA of Mycena maculata, 97 nucleotides long. The record is from the annotation of a GenBank genome assembly. Lineage: Eukaryota; Fungi; Basidiomycota; Agaricomycetes; Agaricales; Mycenaceae.
GGCUCGGUGGUGUAGCGGUUAACACACCUGAGAAUAUUUCCAGUAGUUUCUCUCUGAUAUUCGUCAGGGGUCCCCCGUUCGACUCGGGGCCGUGCCU